Molecule: transfer RNA, 93 nt
Filed under: Deltaproteobacteria bacterium
Lineage: Bacteria; Pseudomonadati; Myxococcota; Myxococcia
Also listed under: 4 other names
Description: tRNA-Ser
Rfam family: tRNA
About the family: Transfer RNA (tRNA) molecules are approximately 80 nucleotides in length.
Source: RNAcentral
GGAGAGGUGGCCGAGAGGCUGAAGGCGCUGGUUUGCUAAACCAGUAUACGGCCCAAAGCUGUAUCGAGGGUUCGAAUCCCUCCCUCUCCGCCA